This 71-nucleotide transfer RNA is filed under the name Ictidomys tridecemlineatus (thirteen-lined ground squirrel). RNAcentral's name for it is "Spermophilus tridecemlineatus (thirteen-lined ground squirrel) tRNA". It matches the Rfam family "tRNA". Rfam says of the family: Transfer RNA (tRNA) molecules are approximately 80 nucleotides in length. Their secondary structure includes four short double-helical elements and three loops (D, anti-codon, and T loops). Lineage: Eukaryota; Metazoa; Chordata; Mammalia; Rodentia; Sciuridae. The record is from Rfam by way of RNAcentral.
UGAGGUGUGGCUCAGCGGUAGAGCGCUUGCCUAGCACGUGUGAGGCCUUGAGUUCCAUCCUCACACCACAU